GUCCUCUUGUUUGAAUAUGAGGUCUGACCUGCCCAGUGAUAAAUAUUUAACGGCCGCGGUAUUUUGACCGUGCAAAGGUAGCAUAAUCAUUAGUCUUUUAAUAGAAGGCUGGUAUGAAGGGUUUGACGAACUGUUAGCUGUCUCAUUUAAUUUGUUAUUAGAAUUUAACUUUUUAGUCAAAAGGCUUAAAUUUUAUUGGAAGACGAGAAGACCCUAUAGAGCUUUAUAGAUGAAGUUUUAAUGAAUUUUAGUUUAUAUCAAUAUUUUUUAGAAAAUAAUCUAUUUUGUUGGGGUGACAAAAAUAUAUAAUUAACUUUUUUAUUUAAUUAACAUUGAUUUAUGAUUAUUAGAUCCAAUCUUAUUGAUUGAUAGACUAAGUUACC
This 383-nucleotide ribosomal RNA is filed under the name Heliogomphus selysi. Its description in RNAcentral is "partial 16S ribosomal RNA". The record is from RNAcentral. Lineage: Eukaryota; Metazoa; Arthropoda; Insecta; Odonata; Gomphidae.